This is a non-coding RNA of Struthio camelus australis, 313 nucleotides long. Lineage: Eukaryota; Metazoa; Chordata; Aves; Struthioniformes; Struthionidae. The record is from RefSeq and is a predicted model, not a curated record.
UCCAUGUAAAGGAACAACCAGGGCAGACAGCUGUGCACAUUUAUACUUGGCUUACUGAGAAAGACCUGCAAUUACUGAAGUCUGAUACCCACUACUUAUCAGGAAAAAAGGUUGUGAGUAGGUGGGACUUGAUGACACCUAGAUCUUGCUCCAACACUGGAUGAAGCCAAGAAAUCAAUGCGCAGAAGCAGAAGUAAAUCUUCCAUUGAAAUGCAGGGUUGGAUAUUUGCUCCUCUUAAGAGAUGUGAUAUUUUCUGUUGUGAUUAAUUAUAUCUUCUUUAUAAUAAGUUUGUGUAUUUUACUGCGAUUUUGA